Long non-coding RNA from Carassius carassius (crucian carp), 554 nucleotides. RefSeq lists it as uncharacterized. The record is from RefSeq and is a predicted model, not a curated record. NCBI's taxonomy places the organism in Eukaryota, Metazoa, Chordata, Actinopteri, Cypriniformes, Cyprinidae. The transcript is spliced from 3 exons.
AGGUGAAAAACAGAGUAACAGCGAAAUCUCAAAGCGAGCAGGGAAAAACAGGAAAUGCCUGUGCACUGUUCUCACUGCCUCUGACUAGCUCCCUCUCUCUCACUCUCUCUUUCUUUCUCUCCUCUUCUUCUCUCCCCUCCCCUCUCCUCCCUCCAGUCACACUUUUCUCCACACAUGACUCAUCGGCUGUUUCGCGCACCUAACCCCACCAUCCACAGACUCUGAACCAGGGAGGCAGUUGGAACUUCCUCUCAUUGUAAGCGUGCCUAGAAAAAUGUUUGAGCAGACACGCAAGAAUGCCAGGUUAUCACUGCGCUUCCAAAACCCGAUCCUCAGUUGUUCCAUUCAACAGUGAUGGAGGAUUUCUGGAAUGCUGUAAAUUGCCUCUAGCUCCAUCCACUUCAAAAACUAGAGCUGGACCGUAGGGAUGCUGCUGCCACUUCGGGGAGUUGGUCCGAACAGACCGGUGGUACCCAAAAGGAUGGGUCUGACACCAGGCAAACUCCGCAUCUGAUACUGGCGCAAGGUCCUCCGGGUGGGAAUGCCGCUGCCUA